AAAACAUCGCCUCUUGAAAAACAUAAGAGGUCCAGCCUGCCCAGUGACACUGUUCAACGGCCGCGGUAUCCUAACCGUGCGAAGGUAGCGUAAUCACUUGUCCUUUAAAUGUGGACUAGUAUGAAUGGCACCACGAGGGUUAUACUGUCUCCUUUCUCUAAUCAGUGAAACUAAUCCUCCCGUGAAGAAGCGGGAAUCUACUUAUAAGACGAGAAGACCCUAUGGAGCUUUAAACGAAACAACAAUUGCUAUAAGACACAAUUAUUUCAGAAAACUAACUUUUAUUUUAGCAUUAUGUCUGUUAGUUUUAGGUUGGGGUGACCGCGGAGCAAAAAAUAACCUCCACAUUGUAAAGGACUUUCCUUAAGCAAAAAUCUACAACUUUAUGCAUCAAUAAAUUGACAUCAAUUGACCCAAUAUUUUGAUCAACGAAACAAGUUACCCUAGGGAUAACAGCGCAAUCCACUUCAAGAGCCCAUAUCGACAAGUGGGUUUACGACCUCGAUGUUGGAUCAGGAUACCCCAGUGGUGCAGCCGCUACUAAAGGUUCGUUUGUUCAACGAUUAAAAUCCUA
Molecule: ribosomal RNA, 574 nt
Filed under: Gastrotheca galeata (helmeted marsupial frog)
Lineage: Eukaryota; Metazoa; Chordata; Amphibia; Anura; Hemiphractidae
Description: partial 16S ribosomal RNA
Rfam family: Bacterial large subunit ribosomal RNA
Source: RNAcentral